RNAcentral lists this small RNA (118 nucleotides) under Escherichia coli. RNAcentral describes it as "partial RtT sRNA". It matches the Rfam family "RtT RNA", at positions 18 to 130 of the family's 130-position model. From Rfam's summary of the family: This family represents a bacterial cis-regulatory element known as RtT RNA. The record is from RNAcentral. Lineage: Bacteria; Pseudomonadati; Pseudomonadota; Gammaproteobacteria; Enterobacterales; Enterobacteriaceae. RNAcentral also lists the same sequence under 1 other name.
GAGGAUGAGAACCUCCGGGGGCGGGGAGGUUCGACUCGAGCGAAGCGAGAGAACGUUGCGCCAGCAACGGCCCGCAGGGCGAGCCACGAAGUGGCGAGUAAUCCUCUAUCACCGACCA